Molecule: long non-coding RNA, 1383 nt
Filed under: Anolis carolinensis (green anole)
Lineage: Eukaryota; Metazoa; Chordata; Lepidosauria; Squamata; Anolidae
Description: lncRNA (ENSACAG00000038116.1)
Source: RNAcentral
GGGACUGUAUCUUGUAGGCUUGCUCAAAUAAUUCGUUUUCCCCGUUUACCGUUAUUGAUUCGUUAUUUUCGGAUUUUUUGAAGCAAUAUUGAAUCUUGGCUGUCCACACGCCUGGAUAUCGCGGAUUCGAACCGCGAUUGGCCGUUUUCCGUAAUGGCGCCUUUUUUUUCGUUUUUAAAAAAUGCUUUGUCAAAUCAUCCAAACUUUUUUAAGUCCACUGGGGCAAUCUAGUGUGUUGUUUGCCCCUUGUAGCCAAUCAGAGAGCACGUUUAACCAGGGGGAGGGGCUGGUAGGACGUGCUUAAUGAAAACAGCGUGCACACGCCUCGUGGCUCAGUCGCACUGGGACUUUUGGAGAGGGUGGAAGGGUAGAUUCAUUGGUGUAGGCAGGCAGGAAACAUUGCUGCGUCACAGCAUGGCUGUGUGAAGACCAGGACAGGAGAAAAGGUGGGGUGGUCUGUGGCUGAGUUUGGUGGUGUGGGUCUUAGGUCUUUCUAUUUGUUUUGUUGUUGCAAACUUGCAAAGGGCUGUCCUGUGGGUGUUUUUCCUGUUCAAAAUACAACUCCUUUUGGGGAAAGAAAAGCCUGCCUUUGUGCCUUGCCUUCAUUGUGUGUGUGUCUGCCAGGGACGCUUUGAAAAAGAGUUGCAUUAUCCCAUCCUGUUCAAAAUACAACUCCUUUUGGGGAAAGAAAAGCCUGCCUUUGUGGCUUGCCUUGUGUGUGUGUCUGCAGGGACGCUUUGAAAAAGAGUUGCAUAUCCCAUCCUGUUCAAAAUACAACUCCUUUUGGGGAAAGAAAAGCCUGCCCUUUGUGGCUUGCCUUGUGUGUGUGUCUGCAGGGACGCUUUGGGAAAGAGUUGCAUAUCCCAUCCUGUUCAAAAUACAACUCCUUUUGGGGAAAGAAAAGCUUACCUUUCUGACUUGCCUUGUGUGUGUGUCUGCCAGAGACGCUUUGGGAAAGAGUUGCAUAUCCCAUCCUGUUCAAAAUACAACUCCUUUUGGGGAAAGAAAAGCUUGCCUUUCUGCCUUGCCUUGUGUGUGUCUGCCAGAGACGCUUUGGGAAAGAGUUGCAUAUCCCAUCCUGUUCAAAAUACAACUCCUUUGGGGGAAAGAAAAGCUUGCCUUUCUGCCUUGCCUUGUGUGUGUGUCUGCCAGGGACGCUUCCUGAUUUUCCCAAGACAACUUUGGGAAAGAGUUGCAUAUCCCAUACUUUCCUGUAGAACUGGAAAGUACAGGUAUCCCCUUGUAAAUAAAUAAAACUAACUAAAUGUUAUAGACUACGCUUUUGCAACAGUAAAUUGGCCAGAAUAUAACACGUUGCCAAUCAAGAUUCAACAAAUAUUUCCCACCAGUAACACAACACCUAACCAUCAUCCCUUCUGUUAC